UGACCUGCGGAAGGAUCAUUAAUGAGAACUUGCCCUUCGGGGUAGAUCUCCCACCCUCUGUUUACAUACUUUGUUGCUUUGGCAGGCCCGUCUUCGGACCGCCGGCUUCGGCUGGCCCGUGCUUGCCAGAGGAUUCAAAACUCUGAUAAUUAUGUCGUCUGAGUACUAUUAUAAAUAGUUAAAACUUUCAACAACGGAUCUCUUGGUUCUGGCAUCGAUGAAGAACGCAGCGAAAUGCGAUAAGUAAUGUGAAUUGCAGAAUUCAGUGAAUCAUCGAAUCUUUGAACGCACAUUGCGCCCUCUGGUAUUCCGGGGGGCAUGCCUGUUCGAGCGUCAUUACAACCCUCAAGCUCUGCUUGGUGUUGGGCCUCGCCGGUUCGGCGGGCCUCAAAAUCAGUGGCGGUGCCAUCUGGCUUCAAGCGUAGUAAAUUCUCUCGCUUCAGGAGACCCAGGUGUGUGCUUGCCAGCAACCCCCAACUUCUAUGGUUGACCUCGGAUCAGGUAGGGAUACCCGCUGAACUUAAGCAUAUCAAUAAGCGGAGGAAAAGAAACCAACAGGGAUUGCCUCAGUAACGGCGAGUGAAGCGGCAACAGCUCAAAUUUGAAAUCUGGGCCUCACGGCCCGAGUUGUAAUUUGUAGAGGAUGCUUCGGAUGCGGUCCGGUCUAAGUUCCUUGGAACAGACGUCAUAGAGGGUGAGAAUCCCGUAUGUGACCGGGUGCCAACUCCAUGUGAAGCUUCUUCGACGAGUCGAGUGUUUGGGAAUGCAGCUCAAAAUGGGUGGUAAAUUUCAU
RNAcentral lists this ribosomal RNA (793 nucleotides) under uncultured fungus. Its description in RNAcentral is "eukaryotic LSU rRNA". The stretch from base 488 to 793 matches the Rfam family "Eukaryotic large subunit ribosomal RNA", at positions 1 to 309 of the family's 3401-position model. The record is from RNAcentral. Lineage: Eukaryota; Fungi.